GUUUGCUUGGUGGAAGGCAUUCUGACCAGGAUGAGCUAGAACCUCACUGCAGGUCUGUUUGCAUUUCUUUCAUGGCUAAAUAUGUUGACCACUUGGUCAUAUAUUCUUUAUGUUCAGAGUUAAUGUGGCUAUUUGGAACCUUCUGUGCUUCUGUGUAGAUAUUAUGACCUCUUCCUAUUUUUAUGAGAGAUGUCAUUAUGUUUUGAUGGGAAGUGUAUUAUUUCUGUAGAUCACUUUUGGCAGUAUGGCGGUUUUGCAGUAUUAGUUCUCCCGCCCAUGAUUAUCUUAGGCUUUUCAUCCUGCAGUGACUUCUUCAUUUUCUCUCAGUGUCCUAGAAUUUUCAUGUGUCUUUUAUCUGCCUGAUUAUAUUCAUUCUUAGGUUUUUUAGGCUUCUGUAAAUAGGAUUGCUUUCCCGGUUUCUUUCUCAGCAUGCUCAGCAUUGGCAUAUAGCAAAGGCAUUGAGUUUUGUGUGUUGACUUUAGAUUCUUUUACUUUGCUGAAAGUAGUAACUGAAAGUCCAGAGUUUUCUGGUGGAGUCUUCAGAGACUUUCAGUGUGGUACACUUGACAGGCAACUGGGGAUAACUUGAUUGCAUCCUUUCUGAUUUGCAUUAUCACCUCUGUCUCUUCCUUUUGCUUUAUUGUUUUGUCUAAAAAUGUAACACCUAUGCUGACUAAAAAUGGUAAUGGUAGACCUCUUCUCUUGUUUUGAAUUAAGAACUUUAAUUUUUCUUCUUCAUUUAGUAUAAUGCUGGUUAUAGGUCUGGGAUAUAUGGCUUUUAUGAUAUUGACAUUUGAUAUUUCUGCUCCUGUAUCUUUCAGGGAUUUUUUUUUUUUUAAUCAUUAAAAGCUGUGGAAGUGAACUGGGUAGUAGUGGUCCAUGCUUUUAAUCCCAGCACUUAGGAGUCUGUAGAGGCAGGCGGAUCCUGAGUUCGAGGACAUCUGCUCUACAGAGCCCUUCCUGGACAGGGCUACACAGAAAAGCCUGUGUGGUUGGAGGAUGACCGUGAAAUCACUUUUUUCUGUAUUUAGAAGAUGAUUGUAUGAAUUUUUUUGCCCUGACUUUGUUUAUAUGUCUAAUAUGUUUAUGAUUUGUAUAUGUUGAAGCAGCCUUACGUCCCUUGAAUAAAAUCACUUUUUUCUUUAAA
RNAcentral lists this long non-coding RNA (1147 nucleotides) under Mus musculus (house mouse). RNAcentral's name for it is "predicted gene, 57470". Lineage: Eukaryota; Metazoa; Chordata; Mammalia; Rodentia; Muridae. The record is from RNAcentral.